Molecule: RNA transcript, 6501 nt
Organism: Zeugodacus cucurbitae (melon fly)
Lineage: Eukaryota; Metazoa; Arthropoda; Insecta; Diptera; Tephritidae
Gene name: probable serine/threonine-protein kinase dyrk2
Exons: 2
Source: RefSeq, a predicted model, not a curated record
UAUAAGCCAAGCUAAAAAAAAGAAUUGUGAAAGCCAAAUAAAUAAAAAAUAAUUGAAACAAAUAUACAGACUUGCAAAACAAAUGCAAAUCUGGCAUUUAAAUUUGUAAAUAUUUUCGCCUGGUUGCUUUCUUCAUAUCCUGCUGCUUCUCGGCUGCCUUUGUUAUACUUUUUAUGACUAUGUACAUAAGUUAAUCGCACUGUGUAGUCCGCAGUGUACAAGUACGAGCUCUCUUAUGGCUUAUAAAAGCAAAUUUUUGUUUAAAUAUUUAAAUUUAUUCACAAAAAGUGCACCACAUACACUCUAUAUACGAAAUUUUGUAAGUUUUUGUUUGAGCGCCUAAGAGUAUGCUACAGUUAAGCAUAUGUACAGCUAGAAAACACAUUUCAGCGCAGAAAAUAUUGUGCCGCUGCACUACUAUUUAGGCGAUAUGUUGUACUUACAGUCACAGUAGCUUCGUUGUGUACAGUCACAUCAGCUUCGGCGUACCACAUGCGAUGCACUUUAACCGAGUUUACUUCUCAAGCACUUAUACAGUGAAAUACUAUAAAGUUAGUGACACACAUGCGAAACUCACUCGUUUUGCUAGCUGCUGUCAAUCAGUCGUCGCUUAACAUGCUCUUCUUCCAGUAUUUCUAACGCAUACUACAACUACAAACAUAUAUGUAAGUGUGUCCGUAAAGCCCUUCCAUGCACUAGUAUGUGUAAUGGUUCUUUAGAUUGCUCUUUGGUAUGGCCAAUAGCCAAAAACUAACUGCCAAAAAAAGUUGUUUAUUCAGUCGCUCGUUCGCAGUAAAUGUUCGUUUAGCACAGAUAAGUGAAUGGUUAGUUUUUGAGGCUGCAACCCUAAAUGUAGGCAAUGAUAUUUUUAUGCUGACUCAAAUUUCGAACGUACGAAAAGUAAAGCGAAAAGAAAAAAAAUUGCACAAAGCGAAAGUGAAAUGGGUGAAGACUACAUACAUUCGCAUACAUUUUUGCUUAUAUGUAAGCUCUCUUUCACUUCCCUUUCUCUUUGUAUGCUCAUGUGUUCGGCUGCUGAGUCUCCGGCCCUUGCUGAUUGCUGCCAUUUCCGCAGCGUAUAAUGGAAUUAAGCAGAGCAUAGAAUUACAUAGAAAAAGUUGAAGCGCAAAUUUGUCGAGAAUCCUUUAAUACGUAUGUAUCUACGCAAAAGCGGAAGUUUGUUGUGUGCUGUGGAAAGAGUAUUCCUGCCUUUCAUUAAAGUUUCGUACAGCCUAAGGCCCAACAGUGUUAAAUUAAAUAUCCGCUUUUGCAUAAUACUUGCUGGCGCUUGUAAUCUCUAAGCAAUUUCUAAAAUUUGUAGUACUUUUGUGUUGUUUGCUGGCUGCGUAGUCUAUUUUUGCAAAUUCGGUUAUAUUUGUCAAAGUGAAAGCGAAAGCGCACACAAAUAAUCUGGCUUACAGCAAUCAGUUGAAACUCUGUUAUAAUCAGACGGUAGCUUGUGUCGAAAAUUCGGUCGUGUCCUAAUUUUCGAAUUGAAAAAGAGCUUUGAGGUUAUAUGUCUAAGUUGAAACAGCGUGAAGAGUCGGUACGUCAGCGGCUGUUUGUCCACAGCUUAAAAACAGAACAUAAAGCUUUAUUAAAUGGACAUUUUACGAGUUCCGAUAGCGUACAACUUCUUAUAACAGUAUUAUACAAUACGCGCUUAAAGGUAUGCUUCGAAAUACUGAUAAUUGCUGGAAUCGAGAAUUCUAAUAGUACUAGAAGACACUGCAGAAAGGAUUAUUGAACUUGGAUAAUUUCAAAUGCAUUGGUUAGUAAUUAUAAAGCCUUUUCAUUGCUCAUCCAACAAUUUGAUCGACCUUGAAAGUGAAAAUUACAUUUAUAGUCUAUAUAUGUAUCAGUGGCUUGUAGAAUAUGAGUAUAGAAAUUCAUUAAAAUAAUGAAUUUUUGAUUUACUUAAAAUGAAACCGAAUGACUUGCCUUUACUUAAAUCUGAGAUAUGCAAGUCACUUUGUGGCAUCUUUGAUGACAAUCAUUGUACUUACGUGGGAAGUGUAGGUUAAUAUUUCUGCCAAAUCACGACAGUAAUGCUAUUUAUCUGAACUUUUGAAAGCAAAUUUCCCCCAAAAGGGUUGUUGCGGUACGGAAGAGCACAAAUGCAUACAUUAAAGUUAAAAUAUAUUGCUUUGUAAUCAUCGUGCUAAGCAAUUUCUUGGAAGUUUUCCGGGGAAAUAUUGGAGGAUUUGAAGGUUAAUUUAUUUUAAGAGCCUAAAGUCAGGCGCAGGUUACUUAGAUUGCAGUUGGACGAGCUUUCCAACAAAUACAAAACUGAUCAAGUGGUGCGGGUAGCAAUACUUUUAAAUAACUAAAUUCACAUAAGCUCUUUAAAAAAUGGUUCUUAUGAAAAAUGCUUUGAAAAUAACUGGCAACCAAACUACAAUGACAGCAUAAAUUUAGGCGUAAACCCAGAAUAUUUGUGUUGUCUUUAAUGAUUGUAUUUAUGCGUCGCCUACUGUUACUCUACCUUACUUCUUGAUAUGAAAAUUCAAGUUAUAUAUCGCAUACUUUUAGGCGCUAAACUAAUUUUUAUCUUUGCUAAAUAUAAAGCUUCAGUUGUGAUAGUUCCGUUAAUCAAACCUCAAAACAAAGUAAAUCACAAGCACAUCUGUUAAAAUUACUCUUUAAAUUACCAAAACUAACGAUUUUAUUAAUUUUUAUUGUAUACUUUUUGGCGAAAUGUGUUGAUUUCAUUUUCUGGUGUACAAAAUAUAAUACUGUUACGCUUUCUAACAACAUCCAACAUUUUGUGAGUUCACACUUUCAAAUUUAACUAAAAACUUUACCACUUUACGCAUUUGGCAACACUGACAAGCAGUAAAACUUUCCUCGGUAAUCGAAUUUGCUUGAAGUUGCAGUAAAUUGCUGUAGCAGCAUUUGUACCUUAGUUUGCUAUAUAUUCACACAAAUAUGGUAUAACCAAAAGCAUAUCUAAACACAGUUGUAACACAAUAAACCGAACUAGUUACUAAAAUAUUUGCAUCCUAAAGAUAUGCUUCACUUUAUCUAAUAACUACUGUGCACAACAUUUCAAAUAUCCACUCAAUACUUCACCGCAAGUGUUAAAACUGCUUCGAAAGCUGAAAGAUUUUUGACUGCCAGCCAGUUUUUUUUAUUUCGUCUGUCUUCAAAAUUCAAUUUGUUGAAUCACCAAAAAUUGGUUUAACACUUGUGGCGAGUCUUUAAUUGACAGGUAAUUAAGUUGACGACUGUGCACUGCUUGUGUGGCAAGUAAAUUUCUGGGAAGCUUCUUUGCUUUACUUAAAAUAUCAGGUUUGUUUCGAACGCCCUGAGGUAUGCUUCAGAAUUUAUACUUUGUAUAUUUUUUUGAAGCUCGCAUGUGCACGUUUGCUCCUCGGCUUCGCUGUUUGUGUUUCGCUGCUACGAGUAUAAAUUAUCUCCAGCAACGCUUUUGCUCUCUAAUGAAAUUGUAAUUUCGUUGUUUUACGCCCAAAAGCAAUCUAUGUAAUUUUCUAUGAAUUAACGCUCGCUGAGCAAUUCCCGGUUCUGAACUUAUUUGGAGGUUGUGUAUACUCUAGUUUCUUCCUUUGCUGUAAACUCAACACAAAAGCGCGCUAACGCCCUCUGCUCUUGUUGAAUUUCAAAUUUCCUUUAAUUAGUGGUUGAUUGCGAGACUUUCCAUUUCAGAGGUGAGAGAGGCGAAAUUAUGUCUAAUAAAAAUUCAAUUUCCUUUCGAGUUAUGCUGGAUUUUUGAAUUUGUGAAACGUGUGCCUUCUGGAAGAAGAUGAUUGAAUAUAAGUCUUAAAAAAGUAGUAUAUUUACUUGUACACCAGAAAUUUAACAGAUUUUUUGUGAUCUACAUAUUAUCUCAACGAUUUCGUGUUAAUAUAAAAAUUAUCUUUUAUCAACAAAUUCCUGGUUUUUUGCAUUAUGCCCACGUUUUUACUCGUCGCAUAGGCAAACAUGACUUUAAUUUACUCAAUUUUUUCCACUAAUCCACAUAAUUUAGCUUUGCACAAAUAUUUGCAAUUUGAAUAUAAUUAAGCUGGAAAACGCACUACAUUAUAUUAAAGCCAGGCGCCACCACUUUUCAAUGCUAAAAUCGUAUUAUAAAUAAUAUUUUUGAGUUUUACAAGCUUAAUUACUUUGCUUUGAACAAAUAUUUACAAAACUAUCUACGUGUAAUGCACAGUUAUUUAUGUAUUUCAAAACAGCUGUAAAAACAAUAUUGAAAUCAGCACAGAUUCGCUAAUAAAAUAUUCACUAAUUUAAUUUAGCGAAAUGAGUAGGAAAUUCAUUUAAAAUACGCGCUUGGGCCCGAACUUUCUAGCUCUUUGUUGUUGUUUAUUCUAAAAAAUUUAAUUUGUUUAAAAAUAAAUAAUUGACAGCAAAUCAGUGCCAAAAUUACUAAAUAAAUAAAGCUAAAUACGAUUCGUUUAACAAAUGCGCCUGAAAGUAUAUUACAAUAAUUGGUGUUAUUUUUUUUUUGAAAAAUUUCAAUUGGUAUAUUAAGUUUACUAAAAAUGUAUGCUGUAUUUAGAAUAUCUCUUUACUAUAUUGUACAAUUAAGUUGAAAAUUUUGAAGUAAAAGUUGUACUACGCCUAAAUGUAGGCCACAUUUUUCAGCAAAUGUAAGUAUACAUAAAUGUCCUUAAUUUUACACCGUUAAUUUCACUUUGAUACCAAAUUUUUAGUUUGUUUGUUGCUUUUGUAGUGUUUUUUUUCGCAAAUUCUUGGCAAAUUUUCACAUAUUUUCGCAAGGCGCUGCACGAGCACACAGUGCAAUAACAGCAAAUGCUUUUUGUUGUAUAAUUUUAGGCUUGAUUUUUCAGCAGCAACGUUAUUGAAAGCAUACUAAUAGCAAAAAACGCACAAAAUGCUUUAAUUUAAUGUGAAAGUGUAAAGAUUUUAAAUAAACCAAAGAAUAACUACAACACAAACAACAAUAAUAACAACAACAACAAAAUACGAAUAUUUUAGAAAACGAUUACGCUUCGUUUUCGCCAGCAAUCUGUGCUAGUAUAUUAGUGUUCGUGUGUGUGUGUGCGUGUCGCUUAGUUGUGGCUUGUGGCGUAAAAUGCCGCUCUGUGCCACCACAUUCUUAUGAUGGAGACAUUCCUUGUCCUUGGGUUAUGUUUCAUAAUAUACGAAGCACUGGAUUUCUUUCAAGGAUGCCUGCAUAGCACCUCACCGAAUUCGACCGAUCAAAUCGAGGCCUAUCGCCGCCAAUUGGACGAGCAGCGACAACAGCUGCAGCAAGAGCAAUUCAUAGCGAAUCUAACGCCGCUCUUGGGCGCUCAAUUGUUGGCUGCCACCUCGAGUGUUUCGUUGACGCCCAGCGAGUCGACCGCGAGCAUCAUAAGUGAACAGUUACGCGCGCAGCAACAGCGUGAACAACUUGUGCAGCAAUUAGAGGGCAGCAUACGCAGUGGUAGCACCACCAGCGGCGGCGCACCCAGCAACGUCGGCGAUAAUUCGUUGAGCACGCCCGCCUUGCAUAGCAGCGGUUUGGGCAGCACUUUCGGCUCGGCCGUCGGCAGCGGGAGCUUGAGUGUGGCCAGCGGUAAUAGCAGCGGCGCCGCCUUUCGUCCCGCCUAUCGCAGCGCUUACGAAUCGCAAGAGUUGUACGCGACCUCCUCACUACCGCGCGACUACUACUUUCUGCAACAGCAACAACAGAAGAAUAAGCAUUCGGCACGCUCGUUAUUCUCGAAAUUCGGCGCUUCUAACUCGGAUAACCGCAUCUUUCCCGAGACCACAGCGGUGCUGGGCGUGCCUGCGGGUGUGAUUACUCAGCAGCCAGCGGCGAGUGUAAACCAUUUUGAGUGCUUACCGCCGGCGACGGUGCCUGCCUCACCUUUGGCUUUCGACUUGAAGCGCGCCAUCUUGAGCAACAACAAUAAAAAUAGAAACAGCAAUAACAACAAAACAUACAACGAGAGAAGACGCACCGCGUCUGCUGUGGAGAGUGUGCUGGUACAUGGUGUAGCAGUAAUUGCAAGUCCGUCGCGUGAUCCACCAAAUCCUAUAGCAACAACAACCACAACGGUUAAGCGCGCAAAUCUGCGCAAUCGUAACGCAAACGCUGCGCUUACGUCGUCUGGCCACGACAGUGACGGCAGUACAUCCGAUUGUGAAUCGGAUACGAGCGUUGAUUCGUCCGACUCGUCGGCAUCCGCUUCGGCCGGUUCCGCGUCGUUAGCCUCGUGCGGUGAGGACAGUGAUCCCGGUUUGGGUGAGGAACGUGAGUUCGGUUUGUCCAAUUCGUGUUCAUCGUCGCAUGCGGACUUUCGUGAAAUCGAAUGUGAGCGCCUAAGGCGCAAGUGUGUGAGCGUGAAACGCAUCUAUAGUAUAUCGGAGAAGUUUUGAAGAACCACGAAAAACAAGUGCAAGUGAAAAAUAAAAGGAAAAACAAUUUUGGAAAAGAAAUGAACUAAAUCCACAAAAAUCCACGAAAAUCAAUACAAAAUAAACAAUAAUGAGAAAAGACAUCAAUGAAAUCAAAAUAAAUACUUAUGUACA